GAAACUGGCUCCUCCAAGCUCACAAGAGCCAAUGGGAAAUAUUCAGGAAUUUGUUGGUAGCUGGAAAUCGACCAUGGUGGGGUUACUUUAUACUUAGCCUGUAUCACAUUUGUAAUUUGACAUGUGUGAUGAAUGAUGAGCACCCGUCUUCCCCAUGGGAAUAUAAACUUUCCAUGGCAAGAGAGACCAUGCCUGGUUUUACUCACUCUCUUUGCUGUAUCAACUCCUACUCUUUGGGCAAGCCAUGAUGUCUCUGAAUCUCCAUUUUCUUGGGUUUAUUCUUGGAGAACCUUUGAGAGCUGUGAGUGACAUGAUCAGCUUUGUAUUUUGGACACCUCCUUUUGAUGUCACUGAAGGAAAGAACUAGAGGGAUAUAACUAAUUUGAUAAGAAAUAAUGGAACUAAUAGAGUUAUAAAGGAAAACAGGUGAAAAAGGUGGGUUCCUCCCUCUUUUUCUUCCUUGGUUGUGUUUAUUGAACAACUGUGUGCCAGGUACUGUGCUAGGAAGUGAGGAUACAGUGGUA
RNAcentral lists this long non-coding RNA (524 nucleotides) under Pan troglodytes (chimpanzee). RNAcentral describes it as "long non-coding RNA NONPTRT003042". The record is from RNAcentral. Lineage: Eukaryota; Metazoa; Chordata; Mammalia; Primates; Hominidae.